Oryzias melastigma (Indian medaka) is the source of this 2145-nucleotide long non-coding RNA. RefSeq lists it as uncharacterized. The record is from RefSeq and is a predicted model, not a curated record. Lineage: Eukaryota; Metazoa; Chordata; Actinopteri; Beloniformes; Adrianichthyidae. The transcript has 4 exons.
AAUGACAAUAUUUAUAAAAAUAUGUUUUUACACCUCCUUAAAUUGAAUACAAAAAUAGUCUGUUUUUUCACCAUAAUUUUACUAUAAUUUAGAAAUACCGGCCCAUCAAAGUACAUUGAUUUGCUGUGAUGAUGAAGAGGAGGCUUGUGGGAAGAAGAGAAAGACAGACCACAAGAAAGAUUGAGAGGAGGCUGGAUGGACAGGGCAUUUCCCAGGAGGUGUCAUGGCUUUCUUUGAGAUCAAACCUUGCUGGCAAAGCCGCCAUAAACUGAUAUGUCAGCCAGGAGUGGAUGGCUGCUUGACUGUGACUGAUCCGCCACGGUUUCUUUAUUCCCCUCGAGAGCCGGGCUCUGCUGACUGAAGUGAUCCCCACGGCCCGGACGAAGAAGAAGAAGAAGAAGGGGAAGCCUCAGAGGGAAGAAGGAUAGCUUCGGAGGAGCCACGCUGAUGCACUCACGCUCACACACGCACACACACUUGAAAACUCAAACAAUGUCCCUCUCAGUUCUGGGUUGUGACCGGCCCAUGGCAUUGCCCAGAUGCACGUGGCCUUUGUGAAGGACACUUCCACGGCUGCUGUCCUUAAUCACCCAGCACGAUGCAUCCUGAAAGCUCUCUCCUGUCACUGCACUUGGCUAUAUCUGCGCCUAACCUGUCUGCCAUAUGUAAUAUCAAAGCCUCUGUCAGCAUGGGGCUGAAUGGGAACAAAAGAGAGGCCUCUAUUAAUGAUUAACUGUUCUAAAAGCCCCGGCUUUUGUAUUCCCAUGGUGCCCGGGCUAUCUGGCCACCAUGUGACAUGCUCACAGCAUUUUUCGAGCAGAUUGGGGGAAAGCUAGUGAGCAAACACAGGUGCUUUGGAGCAGCAUUGCCGACGCUGUCAGGGACAACCACAAACAAGAGCAGCUAUGCCUGGCUAAAUGAAUCCCCACCCCUCCCAGCACCAGCACCACCUCCACCCCCUCGGCUCUGUCACCAGCUAACUUGUUUGCUAGCUCCCUAUAGCUUUCUCCCCGCAAAGCCGUCCUUCUGGAUAGUCUCUAACACCCCCCUCUUCCAAACACCACCACCACCCCAGAUUCAAACCCCUGCACAAGUGCAGCGUCCGCUUCACAACUUCUCACACCCUCCAAAGAAACAAACAAAUAAAAGUGAGGACGGGCGACCACUUCUUUGAGGUGAUGGCAUUUGCUGCGGUCAUGACUAGUGGGAGAGCAAACAAAUUAAUGGUGUCCGGGGUUUUCACUUUCCAAACCAAACUAAAUGUCUUUUAGUUCAAGCGGGGCAAUUCCGCUGACCCUGGUGUCAAACGCUGCAUGAGGAUCGCACACUUUUGCACUUGAGAAGAGGCCAGGAGAAAUGAAAUGAGGAUGCGAGAACUGCACCUCAGUGGGCCAAGAAGAUCUCAAAUAAAAUGUGGCGUUUCAGUAAUAGAAAAUUGACCUAUUUUAAAAGGUUUUCUUCCCAAAUUAAAAUCGAGGGGCUCUCAUCAGAAUGAUUGGGAUGGAGGUGCUCUUCUAUUAAGUGUGAUAAGACAAUCAGAUGAUGGGAUGGCGUUAUCUUAACAUGAAUUUCCGGCUGGGAGACAAACGUGAUAAAUGGAACAAAAGCUUUGCACUUAUUGGUCGCUUCCUGCAAAGAAAGAAAAAAAAGAUUGCAGUUGGAAAUUCACCAUAGAAUUACAAGAAUUACAUUUGUUUGAACCAGAUAUCAAUAAAAACAAAUCUUUAUUUUAUUAUAUACAAUAAAUUAUACUAACAAUAACCGUCCUUUAAUUAUCUGCAAUUAUAAAGCACUUAUUAUUGAAAAGAUAAAAUGUUACAAGACAAACUAAUUAAAUUAUAAAAACGAGACAUGCAGAUCCAGGAAAAAGGGGGCAAAUAAUUUCAUGUUUUCCUUUUUUUUAAGAGAAAUGAAAGAGGUUGCAUAGGCACGUCUGGUUUUUUGACUUUUGUGGCCCAAUUCUGAGAGUCAGAGAGCAGUAUGUACUCAAGGAUUCACUCAGUGCUCUGUUUGCUCUGUUCCCCCCAAAAAUGAUUGGAAAAAAAAUUGGUGUUCUGGCAUGAAAUGUUUGCAAAUUGUUGGAACUGAAAAAAAUAUUGAAACUGUGUCAAAAAUGUAAGAAUAAAUUAUUUUUUGGGGGAAAAA